Dermochelys coriacea (leatherback sea turtle) is the source of this 253-nucleotide long non-coding RNA. RefSeq lists it as uncharacterized. The transcript is spliced from 3 exons. Lineage: Eukaryota; Metazoa; Chordata; Testudines; Dermochelyidae. The record is from RefSeq and is a predicted model, not a curated record.
UGUGGGCUAAAUCCCACUUCCUCAGAUGCAUGGAGUGGAAAAUACAGUAGGGAGGUAUAAAUACACAGCACAUGAAAAGAUGGGAGUUGCCUUACCAAGUGGGGGAUCGGUGCUUAAGAGUCAAUUCAAUUAAGUUGGAGGUGGCCUAUUCUCAACAGUUGACAAGAAGGGGUGGAAGUCACUUCUGUAGUGCUAAUGAGGCCAAUGUAAUCAAGGUGGCCCAUUUCAAACAAAUUGACAAGAAGGCGUGAGU